RNAcentral lists this non-coding RNA (105 nucleotides) under Streptomyces sp. Lineage: Bacteria; Bacillati; Actinomycetota; Actinomycetes; Kitasatosporales; Streptomycetaceae. RNAcentral also lists the same sequence under 1 other name. The record is from RNAcentral.
GGGAACCCGGUGUGAUUCCGGGACUGCCCCGCAACGGUGAGUGGGAACGACCGCCGUCAUGAAGACCGGCCGUGGCUCCGCCGGACCCGCCGGAGCCCGGAAACC